UACAGAGGUCCCAAGCGUUGUUCGGAUUCACUGGGCGUAAAGGGUGCGUAGGUGGUGAGGUAAGUCGGAUGUGAAAUCUCCAGGCUCAACCUGGAAAUGGCAUCGGAAACUACCUCGCUGGAGGUUUGGAGGGGGGACUGGAAUUCUCGGUGUAGCAGUGAAAUGCGUAGAGAUGCGGAGGAACACCGAUGGCGAAGGCAGCCCCCUGGGCUAACACUGACGCUCAGGCACGAAAGCGUGGGGAGCAAACAGG
RNAcentral lists this ribosomal RNA (253 nucleotides) under uncultured bacterium. RNAcentral's name for it is "partial 16S ribosomal RNA". It matches the Rfam family "Bacterial small subunit ribosomal RNA", at positions 524 to 776 of the family's 1533-position model. The record is from RNAcentral.